CCAUACCAACGAACAAUAUUUGGAUGUCUAUCUGAUGCAAUGAGAUUCUGAAUUUCUUUAAAUGCCACAUCAUGAUGAGUUCGAACAAGGCGUUUCACAGCAACAGGUCGACCUUCAUAUAUACCUUCAAGGAUAAUGGUACCAUUGCUUCCCUUAGCAAUUUCUGUAUUUGAUACAAAUAACUUGCCAAUUCUAUGUCCAUCAGUGCCACUAUCAACAAGUUUAUUAAGGUCCAAG
This 237-nucleotide unclassified non-coding RNA is filed under the name Hevea brasiliensis (rubber tree). Lineage: Eukaryota; Viridiplantae; Streptophyta; Magnoliopsida; Malpighiales; Euphorbiaceae. The record is from RNAcentral.